RNAcentral lists this ribosomal RNA (253 nucleotides) under uncultured bacterium. RNAcentral describes it as "partial 16S ribosomal RNA". It matches the Rfam family "Bacterial small subunit ribosomal RNA", at positions 524 to 776 of the family's 1533-position model. The record is from RNAcentral.
UACGGGGGGGGCAAGCGUUGUUCGGAAUUACUGGGCGUAAAGGGUUUGUAGGUGGCCAACUAAGUCAGACGUGAAAUCCCUCAGCUUAACUGGGGAACUGCGUCUGAGACUGGAUGGCUUGAGUGCAGGAGAGGAACGCGGAAUUCCAGGUGUAGCGGUGAAAUGCGUAGAUAUCUGGAGGAACACCGGUGGCGAAGGCGGCAUCCUGGACCGGUAUUGACGCUGAGGAGCGAAAGCCAGGGGAGCAAACGGG